This 174-nucleotide ribosomal RNA is filed under the name uncultured bacterium. RNAcentral describes it as "partial 16S ribosomal RNA". It matches the Rfam family "Bacterial small subunit ribosomal RNA", at positions 338 to 524 of the family's 1533-position model. The record is from RNAcentral.
CCUACGGGAGGCAGCAGUAAGGAAUAUUGCGCAAUGGGCGAAAGCCUGAUGCAGCGACGCCGCGUGAGGGAUGACGGCCUUCGGGUUAUAAACCUCUUUCAGCAGGGACGAAGCGUAAGUGACGAUACCUGCAGAAGAAGCGCCGGCCAACUACGUGCCAGCAGCCGCGGUAAU